Molecule: unclassified non-coding RNA, 334 nt
Filed under: soil metagenome
Description: partial contains 5.8S ribosomal RNA, internal transcribed spacer 2, and large subunit ribosomal RNA
Rfam family: 5.8S ribosomal RNA (bases 1-120)
Source: RNAcentral
GAUGAAGCACGUAGCGAAAUGCGAUACGUAAUGUGAAUUGCAGAAUUCAGUGAAUCAUCGAAUCUUUGAACGCACAUUGCGCCUGCCAGCACUCUGGCAGGCAUGCCUGUUCGAGCGUCAUUUCAACCAUCAAGCCCUAGGCUUGCGUUGGAGCCCUGCGGCUGCCGCAGGCCCCUAAAAGCAGUGGCGGGCUCGCUAUCACACCGAGUGCAGUAGAUUACUCUUCGCUCAGGGCGUGUGGCGGGUUCCAGCCGUGAAACCCCCUACUUCUCAAGGUUGACCUCGGAUCAGGUAGGAAUACCCGCUGAACUUAAGCAUAUCAAUAAGCGGAGGA